Molecule: ribosomal RNA, 1167 nt
Filed under: Bacillus subtilis
Lineage: Bacteria; Bacillati; Bacillota; Bacilli; Caryophanales; Bacillaceae
Description: bacterial SSU rRNA
Rfam family: Bacterial small subunit ribosomal RNA
Source: RNAcentral
CUGGGAUAACUCCGGGAAACCGGGGCUAAUACCGGAUGCUUGUUUGAACCGCAUGGUUCAAACAUAAAAGGUGGCUUCGGCUACCACUUACAGAUGGACCCGCGGCGCAUUAGCUAGUUGGUGAGGUAAUGGCUCACCAAGGCGACGAUGCGUAGCCGACCUGAGAGGGUGAUCGGCCACACUGGGACUGAGACACGGCCCAGACUCCUACGGGAGGCAGCAGUAGGGAAUCUUCCGCAAUGGACGAAAGUCUGACGGAGCAACGCCGCGUGAGUGAUGAAGGUUUUCGGAUCGUAAAGCUCUGUUGUUAGGGAAGAACAAGUACCGUUCGAAUAGGGCGGUACCUUGACGGUACCUAACCAGAAAGCCACGGCUAACUACGUGCCAGCAGCCGCGGUAAUACGUAGGUGGCAAGCGUUGUCCGGAAUUAUUGGGCGUAAAGGGCUCGCAGGCGGUUUCUUAAGUCUGAUGUGAAAGCCCCCGGCUCAACCGGGGAGGGUCAUUGGAAACUGGGGAACUUGAGUGCAGAAGAGGAGAGUGGAAUUCCACGUGUAGCGGUGAAAUGCGUAGAGAUGUGGAGGAACACCAGUGGCGAAGGCGACUCUCUGGUCUGUAACUGACGCUGAGGAGCGAAAGCGUGGGGAGCGAACAGGAUUAGAUACCCUGGUAGUCCACGCCGUAAACGAUGAGUGCUAAGUGUUAGGGGGUUUCCGCCCCUUAGUGCUGCAGCUAACGCAUUAAGCACUCCGCCUGGGGAGUACGGUCGCAAGACUGAAACUCAAAGGAAUUGACGGGGGCCCGCACAAGCGGUGGAGCAUGUGGUUUAAUUCGAAGCAACGCGAAGAACCUUACCAGGUCUUGACAUCCUCUGACAAUCCUAGAGAUAGGACGUCCCCUUCGGGGGCAGAGUGACAGGUGGUGCAUGGUUGUCGUCAGCUCGUGUCGUGAGAUGUUGGGUUAAGUCCCGCAACGAGCGCAACCCUUGAUCUUAGUUGCCAGCAUUCAGUUGGGCACUCUAAGGUGACUGCCGGUGACAAACCGGAGGAAGGUGGUGAUGACGUCAAAUCAUCAUGCCCCUUAUGACCUGGGCUACACACGUGCUACAAUGGACAGAACAAAGGGCAGCGAAACCGCGAGGUUAAGCCAAUCCCACAAAUCUGUUCUCAG